This 266-nucleotide long non-coding RNA is filed under the name Nicotiana benthamiana. RNAcentral's name for it is "long non-coding RNA (NBEN_LNC001466)". Lineage: Eukaryota; Viridiplantae; Streptophyta; Magnoliopsida; Solanales; Solanaceae. The record is from RNAcentral.
AAUAAAUUCCUUAAAGAGAAAAGCAGAACAGGAGCAAAUUAACUUGCCAUUCACAAGAACCCACUUUCUCAUUUUUCUUUCCCAGACAAUUUCAUGUAAUAAUCAUAUUGCUAUUAUGAUAUAGAGAGAAUAAGUGCAUCUACUGCCACAGCAAUGAUUACUGAUCAUUAGCUGCAUGGCAAUAUGAGAAAAAGUUGAAAAACAACUCAAAAGCUCCUCCAUUUUAUGGUAUCUUCUCCUAAAUGUCAGACCAAGCAGGAUAUUUG